This 883-nucleotide long non-coding RNA is filed under the name Musa acuminata (dwarf banana). RNAcentral describes it as "long non-coding RNA (MACU_LNC003002)". The record is from RNAcentral. Lineage: Eukaryota; Viridiplantae; Streptophyta; Magnoliopsida; Zingiberales; Musaceae.
GGAUCUUCUUUACUAGUUACAACAGACGUUAAUUCUACACCGGGCACAUCAGUGGUUGCAGAAAUCUGGUUUGAAGUUCCAACCACUGGAUUCUGGAUGUUUAAUUCACCAAUGCUGCUUUCCGCUACUUCAUUUUGCUCAUCCAUGGCUGCAAAAAUCUGGUUUGAAGUUCUAACCACUGGAUUUUGGAGGUUUAACUCACCAAUGCUGCUUUCCGCUACUUCAUUUUGCUCGUCCAUGGCUGCAGAUAUCUGGUUUGAAGUUCCAACCACUGGAUUUUGGAGGUCUAACUCACCAAUGCUGCUUUCCGCUACUUCGUUUUGCUCAUCCGUGGCUGCAGAUAUCUGGUUUGAAGUUCCAACCACUGGAUUUUGGAGGUUUAACUCACCAAUGCUGCUUUCAGCUACUUCAUUUUGCUCAUCCAUGGCUGCAGAAAUCCAGUUUGAAGUUUCAACCACUGGAUUUUGGAGGUUCAACUCACCAAUGCUGCUUUCAACUACAUUUUGUUCACCAUGGCAUGACUCAGAAGGCAUCUCUGAGUUGUAUGUAGUAUCAUAUGUAGGUUGGACAGAUUCCACAUCACUGACCACAUCUCUCGUCUCAACAACAGUGGUGGUUUUCACAUUGAGAACAUCUAACGCAUCCAAACUUCGAUUCUCAGUUUCAACCACUGGAUUUUGGAGGUUUAACUCACUAGCGAUGUUUUCAGCAGUAAGAUUAUUUGCUUCAGUUACUUCAUUAUGUUCACCAUGGCAUGUUCCAGAAGGUGGCUCUGGGUUGCAUAUGAUAACAGAUGUAGGCUGAACAUACACCACAUUAAGUAACUCAUCUCUUACCUCAAUGGCAGGAGCUGAUUCCACACUGGGAACAUCUAUAACUUCAG